UGACACUGAACAUUGAGCCUUGAUGUGUAGGAUAGGUGGGAGGCUUUGAAGUGUGGACGCCAGUCUGCAUGGAGCCGGCCUUGAAAUACCACCCUUUAAUGUUUGAUGUUCUAACGUUGACCCGUGAUCCGGGUUGCGGACAGUGUCUGGUGGGUAGUUUGACUGGGGCGGUCUCCUCCUAAAGAGUAACGGAGGAGCACGAA
This 203-nucleotide ribosomal RNA is filed under the name Escherichia coli. Its description in RNAcentral is "partial 23S ribosomal RNA". It matches the Rfam family "Bacterial large subunit ribosomal RNA", at positions 2112 to 2314 of the family's 2925-position model. Lineage: Bacteria; Pseudomonadati; Pseudomonadota; Gammaproteobacteria; Enterobacterales; Enterobacteriaceae. The record is from RNAcentral.